RNAcentral lists this ribosomal RNA (253 nucleotides) under uncultured bacterium. RNAcentral's name for it is "partial 16S ribosomal RNA". It matches the Rfam family "Bacterial small subunit ribosomal RNA", at positions 524 to 776 of the family's 1533-position model. The record is from RNAcentral.
UACGUAGGGGGCAAGCGUUGUCCGGAUUUAUUGGGCGUAAAGAGCGUGUAGGCGGCUAUACAGGUCCGCUGUGAAAACUCGAGGCUCAACCUCGAGACGUCGGUGGAAACCGUAUGGCUAGAGUCCGGAAGAGGAGAGUGGAAUUCCUGGUGUAGCGGUGAAAUGCGCAGAUAUCAGGAAGAACAUCAGUGGCGAAAGCGACUUCCUGGACCAAUACUGACGCUCAUGUGCGAAAGCGUGGGGAGCAAACAGG